GUUUCUUCUACUACUGAAGCCUUGCACCCAGUCUGCCCCGGCAGGCAACAUCUUCACUGUGCUUGGAUACCCAUCAGCGGUAACAAGCAGCUGCUCAGCAGUCCACAGAUCAAACGAAGGUGGUCCACCCAGUGGAUUCAGAUAUGACCGGCCCACCGCCGAAAGCGCGGUUGAGUCAGCGUUCCGUAGGUGAACCUGCGGAAGGAUCAUUACAGAGAACUUGCCCUUCGGGGUAGAUCUCCCACCCUUUGUCUACCAUACUUUGUUGCUUUGGCAGGCCCGCCCUUGGGCCGCCGGCUUCGGCUGGCCAGCGCCUGCCAGAGGACCACAAACUCUUGUUUUUAGUGUCGUCUGAGUACUUGAUAAUAGUUAAAACUUUCAACAACGGAUCUCUUGGUUCUGGCAUCGAUGAAGAACGCAGCGAAAUGCGAUAAGUAAUGUGAAUUGCAGAAUUCAGUGAAUCAUCGAAUCUUUGAACGCACAUUGCGCCUAGCGGUAUUCCGCUAGGCAUGCCUGUUCGAGCGUCAUUUCAACCCUCAAGCCUGGCUUGGUAUUGGGUGUCACCAGCAUGGUGGGCCCUAAAAUCAGUGGCGGUGCCAUCUGGCUUCAAGCGUAGUAAUACUUCUCGCUCUGGAGUCCAGGUGGUUGCUUGCCAAAACCCAUACUUUCUAAGGUUGACCUCGGAUCAGGUAGGGAUACCCGCUGAACUUAAGCAUAUCAAUAAGCGGAGGAAAAGAAACCAACAGGGAUUGCCUCAGUAACGGCGAGUGAGCGGCACAGCUCAAUUUGAAAUCUGGCCCUGGUCGAGUGUAUUUGCAGAGAUGUUUCGGCUUGUCGUCUAGUCUGAUAGAACGUCAUAGAGGUGGAUCCGUAUGCGACUGGGUGCCCUAAGCCUCAUGU
RNAcentral lists this ribosomal RNA (900 nucleotides) under uncultured fungus. RNAcentral's name for it is "eukaryotic LSU rRNA". The stretch from base 374 to 527 matches the Rfam family "5.8S ribosomal RNA". The record is from RNAcentral. Lineage: Eukaryota; Fungi.